Molecule: non-coding RNA, 30 nt
Filed under: Mus musculus (house mouse)
Lineage: Eukaryota; Metazoa; Chordata; Mammalia; Rodentia; Muridae
Source: RNAcentral
UGACAAGUGUCCUAGCUCCCUUUGAUGUGU